This 429-nucleotide ribosomal RNA is filed under the name Bacteroidota bacterium. Its description in RNAcentral is "Bacteroidetes bacterium partial 16S ribosomal RNA". It matches the Rfam family "Bacterial small subunit ribosomal RNA", at positions 355 to 776 of the family's 1533-position model. Lineage: Bacteria; Pseudomonadati; Bacteroidota. The record is from RNAcentral.
UAGGGAAUCUUCCGCAAUGGGCGAAAGCCUGACGGAGCAACGCCGCGUGAGUGAUGAAGGUCUUCGGAUCGUAAAACUCUGUUAUUAGGGAAGAACAAAUGUGUAAGUAACUAUGCACGUCUUGACGGUACCUAAUCAGAAAGCCACGGCUAACUACGUGCCAGCAGCCGCGGUAAUACGUAGGUGGCAAGCGUUAUCCGGAAUUAUUGGGCGUAAAGCGCGCGUAGGCGGUUUUUUAAGUCUGAUGUGAAAGCCCACGGCUCAACCGUGGAGGGUCAUUGGAAACUGGAAAGCUUGAGUGCAGAAGAGGAAAGUGGAAUUCCAUGUGUAGCGGUGAAAUGCGCAGAGAUAUGGAGGAACACCAGUGGCGAAGGCGACUCUCUGGUCUGUAACUGACGCUGAGGCUCGAAAGCGUGGGUAGCAAACAGG